RNAcentral lists this ribosomal RNA (542 nucleotides) under uncultured Bacteroides sp. RNAcentral describes it as "bacterial SSU rRNA". It matches the Rfam family "Bacterial small subunit ribosomal RNA", at positions 82 to 609 of the family's 1533-position model. Lineage: Bacteria; Pseudomonadati; Bacteroidota; Bacteroidia; Bacteroidales; Bacteroidaceae. The record is from RNAcentral.
CUCCCUGAGAUCAGCGGCGGACGGGUGAGUAACACGUGGGUAACCUGCCUGUAAGACUGGGAUAACUCCGGGAAACCGGGGCUAAUACCGGAUAAUUUAGUUCCUCGCAUGAGGAACUGUUGAAAGGUGGCUUCGGCUACCACUUACAGAUGGACCCGCGGCGCAUUAGCUAGUUGGUGAGGUAACGGCUCACCAAGGCAACGAUGCGUAGCCGACCUGAGAGGGUGAUCGGCCACACUGGGACUGAGACACGGCCCAGACUCCUACGGGAGGCAGCAGUAGGGAAUCUUCCGCAAUGGACGAAAGUCUGACGGAGCAACGCCGCGUGAGUGAAGAAGGUUUUCGGAUCGUAAAACUCUGUUGUUAGGGAAGAACAAGUGCCGUUCGAAUAGGGCAGCACCUUGACGGUACCUAACCAGAAAGCCACGGCUAACUACGUGCCAGCAGCCGCGGUAAUACGUAGGUGGCAAGCGUUGUCCGGAAUUAUUGGGCGUAAAGCGCGCGCAGGUGGUUUCUUAAGUCUGAUGUGAAAGCCCACGGCU